This 471-nucleotide ribosomal RNA is filed under the name uncultured bacterium. Its description in RNAcentral is "bacterial SSU rRNA". It matches the Rfam family "Bacterial small subunit ribosomal RNA", at positions 335 to 802 of the family's 1533-position model. The record is from RNAcentral.
ACUCCUACGGGAGGCAGCAGUGGGGAAUAUUGCACAAUGGGGGAAACCCUGAUGCAGCCAUGCCGCGUGUGUGAAGAAGGCCUUCGGUUGUAAAGCACUUUCAGUAGGGAGGAAGGUAGUGUAGUUAACACCUGCAUUAUUUGACGUUACCUACAGAAGAAGCACCGGCUAACUCCGUGCCAGCAGCCGCGGUAAUACGGAGGGUGCGAGCGUUAAUCGGAAUUACUGGGCGUAAAGCGCAUGCAGGCGGCCUGUUAAGUCAGAUGUGAAAGCCCGGGGCUUAACCUCGGAAUUGCAUUUGAAACUGGCAGGCUAGAGUCUUGUAGAGGGGUUAGAAUUUCAGGUGUAGCGGUGAAAUGCGUAGAGAUCUGAAGGAAUACCAGUGGCGAAGGCGGCCCCUGGACAAAGACUGACGCUCAGAUGCGAAAGCGUGGGAGCAAACAGGAUUAGAUACCCCGUGGUAGACUGUCA